ACUUGAUGACCCUGGAUGCAAAGAGUUAACAGAGAUAUGGCAUGAACAUGUAUUAGAAAAAUGAUUCACACACAAUAGAAAAAAUAAGUAAGACCAGGAUUGGGUGGCUUUGGAGAAUGUAAUUUCAGCUUGAAUAUGAAGAUGCUUGUAGAACAGUGUUCCUUCCUCUGAACAUGGCUACAGAAGAACAAAUCAGUUAGUCUGAAGAUGAAAACAAGAAGCUGAUGGUAGACACAUUCUGAACUGGCUAACACAACACUCUGAAACUGGAGGAUAUCAACUGAUAAGAUAUGAAGUUCUCCCUUAGUUUCAAAUACACUGGGUUCAUAAAUUAUUGACAUAAACAAUAGAUGUCCCAUCAAGCUACCAUGAAGAUAGCUAGGUCUGCACAACUCCUCAAGUGUCGACCCCUCCAAGCACAUCCUCCACCUGGAACUGUGAA
RNAcentral lists this long non-coding RNA (442 nucleotides) under Homo sapiens (human). RNAcentral describes it as "long intergenic non-protein coding RNA 1708". The record is from RNAcentral. Lineage: Eukaryota; Metazoa; Chordata; Mammalia; Primates; Hominidae.